Molecule: transfer RNA, 78 nt
Filed under: Klebsiella phage vB_KpnS_Uniso31
Lineage: Duplodnaviria; Heunggongvirae; Uroviricota; Caudoviricetes; Demerecviridae
Description: tRNA-Pro
Source: RNAcentral
GAUGGACUACAACCUGAAGUUCAACAGUAUUCUCCUGAAACGCUUCCUGCGUAAAGAGAACAUCACACUGAUGAGCUU